RNAcentral lists this ribosomal RNA (479 nucleotides) under Cryptosporidium parvum. RNAcentral describes it as "partial 18S ribosomal RNA". It matches the Rfam family "Eukaryotic small subunit ribosomal RNA", at positions 567 to 1061 of the family's 1831-position model. The record is from RNAcentral. Lineage: Eukaryota; Apicomplexa; Conoidasida; Eucoccidiorida; Cryptosporidiidae.
CCCCCUCCACCACCCCGCGGUACCCCCCCCCCCCAACAGCGUAUAAUAGGUGUUGUCGCAGUUAAAAAGGCGCGUAGGGGGAUUUCUGAUAAUUAUUUAUAAAAAAUUUUUUGAUGAAUUUUUUAUAUAAUAUUAACAUUAUUCAUAUUACUAUUUUUUUUAGUAUAUGAAAUUUUACUUUGAGAAAAUUAGAGUGCUUAAAGCAGGCAUAUGCCUUGAAUACUCCAGCAUGGAAUAAUAUUAAAGAUUUUUAUCUUUUUUAUUGGUUCUAAGAUAAGAAUAAUGAUUAAUAGGGACAGUUGGGGGCAUUUGUAUUUAACAGUCAGAGGUGAAAUUCUUAGAUUUGUUAAAGACAAACUAAUGCGAAAGCAUUUGCCAAGGAUGUUUUCAUUAAUCAAGAACGAAAGUUAGGGGAUCGAAGACGAUCAGAUACCGUCGUAGUCUUAACCAGAAACUAUGCCAUAUUAGAGACAAAGGUG